UGUGCACCGGUGGGGUCCCUUGGCCUGGCUUGUGGGGGUCAAAACAGGCUCUCUGAUAUCCCCCAAGGGGUCCCGGAUUGUGAGAGGGCACAGGCCAGGCCAAGGGACCCCACCAGUGCACG
This 122-nucleotide microRNA precursor is filed under the name Myotis brandtii (Brandt's bat). RNAcentral's name for it is "mir-9193 microRNA precursor family". It matches the Rfam family "mir-9193 microRNA precursor family". The record is from Rfam by way of RNAcentral. Lineage: Eukaryota; Metazoa; Chordata; Mammalia; Chiroptera; Vespertilionidae.